This 253-nucleotide ribosomal RNA is filed under the name uncultured bacterium. RNAcentral describes it as "partial 16S ribosomal RNA". It matches the Rfam family "Bacterial small subunit ribosomal RNA", at positions 524 to 776 of the family's 1533-position model. The record is from RNAcentral.
UACAGAGGGGGCAAGCGUUAUUCGGAAUUAUUGGGCGUAAAGGGCGCGUAGGCGGCCUUUCAAGUGACGGGUGAAAUCCCUCGGCUUAACCGAGGAACUGCCUGUCAGACUGGGAGGCUUGAGACCGGGAGAGGUGAGUGGAAUUCCCAGUGUAGCGGUGAAAUGCGUAGAUAUUGGGAGGAACACUAGUGGCGAAGGCGGCUCACUGGACCGGAACUGACGCUGAUGCGCGAAAGCGUGGGGAGCAAACAGG